Long non-coding RNA from Macaca mulatta (Rhesus monkey), 890 nucleotides. RefSeq lists it as uncharacterized. The record is from RefSeq and is a predicted model, not a curated record. Lineage: Eukaryota; Metazoa; Chordata; Mammalia; Primates; Cercopithecidae.
GGCAGGGAGAAGCUGUUUAUUUCCGUGCCUGCGGUUGGACCUUGUUAAAGAUUAGAGCUGUGAUGCUAGCACCUGGGAGACCACAUCCUGUGCAUUUUUCAGUUUUGCUCAGUUCCUGACUCUGGUAUAGCAGAAGCAUUUUCACAUCUACGACACCCGCUAUGUCUUGGUAAACCCCGGAAGGGAAGGGAGGACAAGGUUAAAAUACGGUUCCGAGGACCUGGUCUCUCCACAGCGCAGGCUGGAGGUGGGAGCCCGUGGAAAGCCAGGUUCAUCCACCAUCGGAACCCAGGCCAGGCCGCCAAGGCUAAUAUUCAGGACAAAGCCAGGGGCAGGGUGGGAAUCCUGUGGAGAUGACCAUCGUCUUGAGGUCUUCCUUCCAGGGCUCCAUCCGGGCCCGAAGAUGGCCAGAGACGUGGAUGUGCUGGGGUCGUGUAAAGCAUGAACAUUAGAGGGAUCUGAAUGAAGGGCAUAUAGGAACUCUCUGUAUCUCUGCAACUCUUCUGCAAAUUUGAAUUUAUUCCCAGCCCCCAUAACCACCAUUCCCUGCUGUGAUGUUGUGACUCUGGUGACUUUGCAGACCCCCUGUGACAUCAUGCAGUACUUGGUCUCCGCAUCUGCAUCGCUUGGCGUGAUGUCCUCAGGGUUUGUCUGUGUUGUCGCCCAUGGCAGAAUUUUCUUCCUUGUUUAAGGCUGCAUAGUAUUCCCCUGUGUGUGUACCACAUUUUCCAUAUCCAUUCAUCUGUCAUGGACAUUUAGAUGAUUUUCACGUCUUAGCUAUAGUGCAUAGUGCUGCAGUGGUCAGGGGAGUUCAGAUGGCUCUUUACAUACUGAUUUUUUUUUUUUUUUUUUUUUUGGAGACAGAGUCUUGCUCUUCUUGCCCAGGCUGG